This 404-nucleotide unclassified non-coding RNA is filed under the name Hevea brasiliensis (rubber tree). The record is from RNAcentral. Lineage: Eukaryota; Viridiplantae; Streptophyta; Magnoliopsida; Malpighiales; Euphorbiaceae.
CAUCAACUUCAAAAUUUACAUCAGUUCCCUUUCCACUUUCCAAUAGUUUUCCAAAAUGCUGGCCAAUGUUAGAAGGUGGUACUGCUAUAGAAUAAGUCUUAGGGCCCUCUGUGUGUGACUUAACAACACCUAAACUACAGUGAACUUGAAGGCAAUCCUCUUUGAGGUAAUCGGAUGACUCCAGAAGAGUUCUUUUGAAAAACCUUUUGUAUCCCCACAUGCUUCCACGAUAUUUAAGCGUAUAUGGCCCACUCUCAAGCGUCCUCCCAAAAUGGCUAUGAACCUUAUGCCUCUCCUUCCCACUCUGAUCCAACAGCGUCAACUCGAAAAGAGCCCUUACAUCGGUGCCUUCACUGGCCAACGCUAUAAACAGAGAAACAUAAGUGGCAUUAUCCUCGACGCUC